GCCUUCGUGGUGUAAUGGGUAGCACACUGAGCCGGUAUUUCAGAGGUCCGUGGUUCGAUCCCCGGCGAAGGCA
RNAcentral lists this transfer RNA (73 nucleotides) under Stegodyphus mimosarum. It matches the Rfam family "tRNA". From Rfam's summary of the family: Transfer RNA (tRNA) molecules are approximately 80 nucleotides in length. The record is from Rfam by way of RNAcentral. Lineage: Eukaryota; Metazoa; Arthropoda; Arachnida; Araneae; Eresidae.